CUCGGAGUUUGUCCUGGCUCAGGAUGAACGCUAGCGGCAGGCUUAACACAUGCAAGUCGAGGGGUAUAGUUCUUCGGAGCUAGAGACCGGCGCACGGGUGCGUAACGCGUAUGCAAUCUACCUUUUACAGAGGGAUAGCCCAGAGAAAUUUGGAUUAAUACCUCAUAGUAUGUGAGAAUCGCAUGGUUUUCACAUUAAAGUCACAACGGUAAAAGAUGAGCAUGCGUCCCAUUAGCUUGUUGGUAAGGUAACGGCUUACCAAGGCAACGAUGGGUAGGGGUCCUGAGAGGGAGAUCCCCGACACUGGUACUGAGACACGGACCAGACUCCUACGGGAGGCAGCAGUGAGGAAUAUUGGACAAUGGGGCGCAAGCCUGAUCCCAGCCCAUGCCGCGUGCAGGAUGACGGUCCUAUGGAUUGUAAACUGCUUUAGUACGGACGAAAGGUUCUCUAUUAAUACUAGGGGGCUCAUGACGGUACUGUAAGA
RNAcentral lists this ribosomal RNA (487 nucleotides) under uncultured Flavobacterium sp. Its description in RNAcentral is "bacterial SSU rRNA". It matches the Rfam family "Bacterial small subunit ribosomal RNA", at positions 1 to 485 of the family's 1533-position model. The record is from RNAcentral. Lineage: Bacteria; Pseudomonadati; Bacteroidota; Flavobacteriia; Flavobacteriales; Flavobacteriaceae.